Molecule: ribosomal RNA, 253 nt
Filed under: uncultured bacterium
Lineage: Bacteria
Description: partial 16S ribosomal RNA
Rfam family: Bacterial small subunit ribosomal RNA
Source: RNAcentral
UACGGAGGGGGCUAGCGUUGCUCGGAAUCACUGGGCGUAAAGGGUGCGUAGGCGGGUCUUUAAGUCAGGGGUGAAAUCCUGGAGCUCAACUCCAGAACUGCCUUUGAUACUGAAGAUCUUGAGUUCGGGAGAGGUGAGUGGAACUGCGAGUGUAGAGGUGAAAUUCGUAGAUAUUCGCAAGAACACCAGUGGCGAAGGCGGCUCACUGGCCCGGUACUGACGCUGAGGUGCGAAAGCGUGGGGAGCAAACAGG